This 431-nucleotide ribosomal RNA is filed under the name uncultured bacterium. Its description in RNAcentral is "partial 16S ribosomal RNA". It matches the Rfam family "Bacterial small subunit ribosomal RNA", at positions 29 to 505 of the family's 1533-position model. The record is from RNAcentral.
AACGAACGCUGGCGGCAUGCCUAACACAUGCAAGUCGAACGAGACCUUCGGGUUUAGUGUCGUACGGGUACGUAACGCGUGGGAACCUGCCCUUAGGUUCGGAAUAACUCUCCGAAAGGGGUGCCAAUACCGGAUAAUGUCUUCGGCCCAAAGAUUUAUCGCCUUUGGAUGGGCCCGCGUUGGAUUAGCUAGUUGGUAGGGUAAAAGCCUACCAGGGCGACGAUCCAUAGCUGGUCUGAGAGGAUGAUCAGCCACACUGGGACGGAGACAGGACCCAGUCUCCUACGAGGGGCGGAAGUGGGAUAUAUUGAAGAAGGGGGAGAGGCGAAGGCCAGCGGUGCGGAGAGAGUGGUGAGGACUGAAGGAUUGUAAAGCUCGUUACCCGGGGAUGAUAGUGGGAAUACCGGGAGAAUAAGCGCGGUAAAACUCCG